RNAcentral lists this ribosomal RNA (468 nucleotides) under uncultured bacterium. Its description in RNAcentral is "partial 16S ribosomal RNA". It matches the Rfam family "Bacterial small subunit ribosomal RNA", at positions 28 to 507 of the family's 1533-position model. The record is from RNAcentral.
GACGAACGCUGGCGGCGUGCUUAACACAUGCAAGUCGAACGGAAAGGCCCUGCUUUUGUGGGGUGCUCGAGUGGCGAACGGGUGAGUAACACGUGAGUAACCUGCCCCUGACUUUGGGAUAACUUCAGGAAACUGGGGCUAAUACCGGAUAGGAGCUCCUGCUGCAUGGUGGGGGUUGGAAAGUUUCGGCGGUUGGGGAUGGACUCGCGGCUUAUCAGCUUGUUUGUGGGGUAGUGGCUUACCAAGGCUUUGACGGGUAGCCGGCCUGAGAGGGUGACCGGCGACAUUGGGACUGAGAUACGGCCCAGACUCCUACGGGAGGCAGCAGUGGGGAGUAUUGCACAAUGGGCGGAAGCCUGAUGCAGCAACGCCGCGUGCGGGAUGACGGCCUUCGGGUUGUGAACCGCUUUCGCCUGUGACGAAGCGUGAGUGACGGUAAUGGGUAAAGAAGCACCGGCUAACUACGUG